CGAUCGGGAGGCUCCGUGAUGGGACGCGGGCGCCACGAAUUGAUCGAAAUCCAUCCUCUCGAAUGGCCAUGUUGCUGAAGCCCAUCAGCACUAUG
RNAcentral lists this non-coding RNA (95 nucleotides) under unclassified sequences. RNAcentral describes it as "Rhodo-rpoB RNA". It matches the Rfam family "Rhodo-rpoB RNA". The record is from RNAcentral.